CCCCGUUAAGCCCCGCCCCCUCCGGAAGCCUUGGCCCGAGCGGAGCUCGCCCUUCCCCGCGUGGGUCGCCGGCUGCGCGCCCCUGUCCUGCGAGCGACCCCGCGGCGGGUGCGCGGCGAGCGUGUGCCCCGUCCGCGGCGGGCUCCGCGUCGGAUCCCGCUCCUUCCCGCCAUGAACCGCUACCUUCUGCCGCUGUCCGUGCUGGGCACGGCGGUGGGUGGCGCGGUGCUGCUCCGAGACUACGUUGCGGGCGGGGUCUGUCCCAGCAAGGCCACCAUUCCUGGGAAGACCGUCAUUGUGACCGGCGCCAACACGGGCAUCGGGAAGCAGACGGCCUUGGAGCUGGGCAGAAGAGGAGGCAACAUCAUUCUGGCCUGUCGAGAUAUGGAGAAGUGUGAGGCGGCGGCAAAGGACAUUCGUGGGGAGACCCUUAAUCACCGCGUCAGGGCCCGGCACCUGGACCUGGCCUCCCUCAAGUCCAUCCGAGAGUUUGCCGCGAAGAUCAUCGAAGAGGAGGAACAAGUGCACAUUCUGGUCAACAAUGCAGCUGUGAUGCGGUGCCCCCACUGGACCACCGACGAUGGCUUUGAGAUGCAGUUUGGUGUUAACCACUUGGGUCACUUUCUUUUGACAAACUUGCUGCUGGACAAGCUGAAAGCCUCGGCCCCUUCACGGAUCAUCAACCUCUCGUCCUUGGCCCACGUUGCAGGACACAUAGACUUUGAUGACUUGAACUGGGAGAAGAGGAAGUAUGACACCAAAGCAGCUUAUUGCCAGAGUAAGCUGGCCAUCAUCCUCUUUACCAGGGAGCUGAGCCGGCAGCUGCAGGGCACGGGUGUGACCGUCAAUGCUUUGCACCCUGGUGUGGCCAGGACAGAGCUGGGCAGGCACACAGGCAUGCACAGCUCUGCCUUCUCCAGCUUCACACUCGGGCCCAUCUUCUGGCUGCUGGUCAAGAGCCCCCAGCUGGCAGCCCAGCCUAGCACGUACCUGGCUGUGGCAGAGGAAUUGGAAGGUGUUUCUGGAAAGUAUUUUGAUGGACUCAAAGAGAAGCCUCCAGCCCCUGAAGCUGAGGAUGAGGAGGUAGCCCAGAGACUUUGGGCUGAAAGUGCCCGCCUGGUGGGCUUGGAGAUGUCCGGUGGUUCCUCUGGGAGGGGGCAGCCCCUCCCCAAAUAACCUCUGGGAGCCUUUGAAAACCACAUGGGAGGCUGAGUACCAGGAUGGAGCGGCAAGACCAACCAAGGCUGGCGGCUCUGUCUGCAGCACCCUCUAGGUGGCAGUAUUGGCCAAGGAAUGCUGACUGCUAUGCCCACGUCACCCUCUAGGUGGCAGUCUUGGCUGCGUGAGCCUCAAGACCACUGCUGUCAUGCCCUCAGCCUCCUCUAGGUGGCAGUAUUGACUAAAGAAUGCUGACUGCCGUGCCCACGCCACGCUUUAGGUGGCAGUGUUGGCUGCGUGAGCCUCAAGACCACUGCUGUCAUGCGCUCAGCCUCCUCUAGGUGGCAGUAUUGACUAAAGAAUGCUGACUGCCGUGCCCACGCCACGCUUUAGGUGGCAGUGUUGGCUGCGUGAGCCUCAAGACCACUGCUGUCAUGCGCUCAGCCUCCUCUAGGUGGCAGUAUUGACUAAAGAAUGCUGACUGCCGUGCCCACGCCACGCUUUAGGUGGCAGUGUUGGCUGCGUGAGCCUCAAGACCACUGCUGUCAUGCGCUCAGCCUCCUCUAGGUGGCAGUAUUGACUAAAGAAUGCUGACUGCCGUGCCCACGCCACGCUUUAGGUGGCAGUGUUGGCUGCGUGAGCCUCAAGACCACUGCUGUCAUGCCCUCAGCCUCCUCUAGGUGGCAGUAUUGACUAAAGAAUGCUGACUGCCGUGCCCACGUCACGCUUUAGGUGGCAGUGUUGGCUGCGUGAGCCUCAAGACCACUGCUGUCAUGCCCUCAGCCUCCUCUAGGUGGCAGUAUUGACUAAAGAAUGCUGACUGCCGUGCCCACGUCACGCUUUAGGUGGCAGUGUUGGCUGCGUGAGCCUCAAGACCACUGCUGUCAUGCCCUCAGCCUCCUCUAGGUGGCAGUAUUGACUAAAGAAUGCUGACUGCCGUGCCCACGCCACGCUUUAGGUGGCAGUGUUGGCUGCGUGAGCCUCAAGACCACUGCUGUCAUGCCCUCAGCCUCCUCUAGGUGGCAGUAUUGACUAAAGAAUGCUGACUGCCGUGCCCACGUCACGCUUUAGGUGGCAGUGUUGGCUGCGUGAGCCUCAAGACCACUGCUGUCAUGCGCUCAGCCUCCUCUAGGUGGCAGUAUUGACUAAAGAAUGCUGACUGCCGUGCCCACGCCACGCUUUAGGUGGCAGUGUUGGCUGCGUGAGCCUCAAGACCACUGCUGUCAUGCCCUCAGCCUCCUCUAGGUGGCAGUAUUGACUAAAGAAUGCUGACUGCCGUGCCCACGCCACGCUUUAGGUGGCAGUGUUGGCUGCGUGAGCCUCAAGACCACUGCUGUCAUGCCCUCAGCCUCCUCUAGGUGGCAGUAUUGACUAAAGAAUGCUGACUGCCGUGCCCACGCCACGCUUUAGGUGGCAGUGUUGGCUGCGUGAGCUCAAGACCACUGCUGUCAUGCCGGCACCACCCUCGAGGUGGCAGUACUGCCCAAGGAACGCUGGCUGCCAUGCGCAUACCACCCUGUAGGGGUCACUAGCGGCCCUUUUCUCAGGCACAGUGGAUGGGACUGCAGAUGCGCACCUGUCGCAACUGAUGCGGUGCGCCCCGCAGCCCGCAGGUGCGCGGGGCCGUCAGACACCUGCCUUGAGCGUGUAACUGGGAACUGAGGGAGGAGUCCGCUCCCUCCGGCGUGGCCGUCAGGAGAGCCUGUGCAGAACUGUAUGGCCGUUGGGAAGGUUGUCGGCCAGACACGGUCAAGGUCGUGGUUCCCCGUGGGACCGUGCACGCCCUCAGUUGCCUUUCUGAGCCUCGGUUUCUCCCUCUGUGAAUGUGCAGAAUAACCUGACUACCUCGCGGGGCGGUGUGGUGACGACGGAGUUCUCGCCUUGCUGCUGAACGUUCGCUUGCGCGUGCCAUACCCUGGGCGAGCCGCCGGGGUCACCCCUGAGGACAGGCCUUGUAAUGCCAGUCCUGCUCGGGACAGCAAGGGUGAGAAGCCCACCAGCUGCGCAGCUUCGGUGGCAGAAUCGGGGCUGGCACUCAGCUCCCGCACAGAAUGGAGGGGGGGCGCACCACAAAGCUCAGGAAUCAAGAUUCAAGUGUUUUAACAUAACAAACAUGUACCAUUUGAGAUGCUUGUGGAGGCCAGAGAUGCUGCUCCAUGCCCUCCACUACCCAGAACAUCAGCCAGUGGCCCUGCCCCAAAUGCCGACAGUGCUGAGGAAGGUGGGAUUAAAGACGGCUCGAAGUUUUAUAAAUACGCAAUAGAUCUUGAAGAUCAUCUGUAUCGCUACACAAAGGUCGAUCGCAUUCUUUAAAAAAUACCUGUGCACGAUUUCAUCACGCGUCUGUAUCACAGAGAUGCCACAGGGAGAGUUUGCGGGAAGCCAUGCAAAAGACCGAGGCAAGGGCUGUUGGCAGCCCUAACAUUGGGUGAAAACCACCGCCAGAAAGAGAAGGUUGUGCAAACAGUAAAGAGAGCAUUCGGACUGAUCAGGGCACCGACCGCAGAGCACAGACCGUAGUCUGUGAGAUGCUCAAGAACAGGGAGAGGCGUCCUUUGGACACUGCAUGGUGAAGGGAAAAGGGAGAAAGAGGGGGAAAUUAGGAUUUUUCAAGAAGAAAGGAAAAAAAAAAAAAUCAAGGACAUAACCUUUCUCUCCACUCUGCCUCCCUGCAGGAGCCCCCUAGUAAAAAACUGUACUUCACCACUGACAGCAGAGGGCAGACUCGUACCAAAAAUCUUUACUACAGCAAACAAGCGCGUUAUCUAGGAAUACCUGUCAACAGGAGCCGCACAGAUCAUCCCAACCACCAGCCCUGUUUAACAGAAAUACACAGGUGCAAACAUUAUUUAUCAAACACUGCCAUCCAAAUGAACCAGAAGAUGAGAAUCCCAAAACUCAGUUGAUAACACCUAAGAGCAGAAUUAGUAGGUCACACGGUAACCCUACGUACACAGCAUUUUGAAGAACUGCUAGAUUAUGUUCCUCUCACAUUCACAAGCGUAUUCACAACAGCCCAAAGGUGGGAGCAACCCCAUGCCCAUCAGAGUUGACUGGAUAAAGGAAGUGUGGAAUGUUAUUCAGCCCUCACACCCGCGACCACAGCGAUGAGCCUUGAAAACACGACGCUAAGUGAAAUAAGCCAGUCGCAAAGACAAAUACCGUGUGGUUUCACGGACAUGAUGUCUCUAAAGAAGCCAGAUUUGCCGAGAUAGAAAAUAGUAUGGUGCUUACCAGGGGCAGCGGGGCGACGGUCUGGGAGAUCGAGUGCUGGGACUGGAGCAGUAAGCCUUAAUCUCUCCGGGCAGAACUCAGGAGCAGGCAGGGAGCUUCUGGGGGAGGCGCGGAGGCUGCUGGUCUAGCCACCAAAUUGGCAGCACGUGGAGAUGCCUGGGGAGAUCCGAACACAUGAAGACAAUUGCAACUAACUACAAUCAAGAGCUUCAUUCUCCCUGUUGAAAACACGGGGAGAAACAUCUCUCCUGUUGCUUAGAACAUUUCUUUAGAAAACUUGAAAGUUCUCUCUCUGUCCCUUCGAAGUGUGUGCCAACAUUUUUAGAAGGUAAGUAAGCCUCUUGCCAGCUCUGUGACCCAGGACUGUCUUUCUCGAGGACUGGGAAUGUGAACGUGAAGGGAGGCGGCAUUCCUAUCUACCAGCUUCUGAAGGAGGACAGGAGCUCAACUCCAUGUUGCAAAGCUGCCUCCCCACAUAAAGCUGGGAGUGGUUUGUUUUUUCCUCUGCCUAAAGCCAAUCAGCUGACACACGUGGUCUCCCCAGUCACCAGAUAAAUUUAGGAUGAUGGUGUUGUCAGGUCCACUGGAUGUGAUGAGCUGACCCUGCUUGACUCUGUGACAGGGCGGGACUGUUUCCUGUCUUUGCUAUCUUGUUGGCAGAUCUUGUCCUGAUGCACAUCACGUUCUGGCUUGAAUACCUAUUCAAUAAUAAAACUGUGUUCUUUCUCUUC
Molecule: RNA transcript, 5123 nt
Organism: Mirounga angustirostris (Northern elephant seal)
Lineage: Eukaryota; Metazoa; Chordata; Mammalia; Carnivora; Phocidae
Gene: RDH13
Gene name: retinol dehydrogenase 13
Exons: 8
Source: RefSeq, a predicted model, not a curated record